Molecule: transfer RNA, 96 nt
Filed under: Carnobacterium divergens
Lineage: Bacteria; Bacillati; Bacillota; Bacilli; Lactobacillales; Carnobacteriaceae
Description: tRNA-Leu
Rfam family: tRNA
About the family: Transfer RNA (tRNA) molecules are approximately 80 nucleotides in length.
Source: RNAcentral
GCGGAAAUAGCUCAGUGGUAGAGCACCACCUUGCCAGGACUUAAAAUCCUGCGGUGAGUGAUCACCGUGCCGGUUCGAUUCCGGCCCUCGGCACCA